RNAcentral lists this ribosomal RNA (453 nucleotides) under uncultured bacterium. Its description in RNAcentral is "bacterial SSU rRNA". It matches the Rfam family "Bacterial small subunit ribosomal RNA", at positions 364 to 832 of the family's 1533-position model. The record is from RNAcentral.
UUCGCAAUGCCCGAAAGGGUGAACGAGCGACGCCGCGUGCGGGAUGAAGGCCUUCGGGUUGUAAACCGCUUUUGUAAGGGAAAAACUUAAUGAUGGUACCUUGCGAAUAAGAGGUUACUAACUCUGUGCCAGCAGUAGCGGUAAUACAGAGACCUCAAGCGUUAUCCGGAUUUAUUGGGCAUAAAGAGCACGUAGGCGGUUGAGCAAGUCCAUUGUGAAAUCCCCCGGCUUAACCGGGGAACUGCAGUGGAUACUACUUGACUUGAGUGCAGGAGGGGAGAGUGGAAUUCCAGGUGGAGCGGUGAAAUGCGUAGAUAUCUGGAGGAACGCCGGUGGCGAAAGCGACUCUCUGGUCUGUAACUGACGCUGAGGUGCGAAAGCUAGGGGAGCAAACGGGAUUAGAUACCCCGGUAGUCCUAGCCCUAAACGAUGGGCACUAAGUAGAGGGGUUUU